GACGAACGCUGGCGGCGUGCUUAACACAUGCAAGUCGAACGGAAAGGCCCUGCUUUUGUGGGGUGCUCGAGUGGCGAACGGGUGAGUAACACGUGAGUAACCUGCCCUUGACUUUGGGAUAACUUCAGGAAACUGGGGCUAAUACCGGAUAGGAUCUCCUGCUGCAUGGUGGGGGUUGGAAAGUUUCGGCGGUUGGGGAUGGACUCGCGGCUUAUCAGCUUGUUGGUGGGGUAGUGGCUUACCAAGGCUUUGACGGGUAGCCGGCCUGAGAGGGUGACCGGACACAUUGGGACUGAGAUACGGCCCAGACUCCUACGGGAGGCAGCAGUGGGGAAUAUUGCACAAUGGGCGGAAGCAUGAUGCAGCAACGCCGCGUGCGGGAUGACGGCAUUCGGGUUGUAAACCGCUUUCGCCUGUGACGAAGCGUGAGUGACGGUAAUGGGUAAAGAAGCACCGGCUAACUACGUG
Molecule: ribosomal RNA, 468 nt
Filed under: uncultured bacterium
Lineage: Bacteria
Description: partial 16S ribosomal RNA
Rfam family: Bacterial small subunit ribosomal RNA
Source: RNAcentral